Molecule: ribosomal RNA, 501 nt
Filed under: uncultured bacterium
Lineage: Bacteria
Description: partial 16S ribosomal RNA
Rfam family: Bacterial small subunit ribosomal RNA
Source: RNAcentral
ACUCAAAUGAAUAGACGGGGACCCGCACAAGCGGUGGAUGAUGUGGAUUAAUUCGAUGCCACGCGAAAAACCUUACCUACCCUUGACAUGGAUCGAAUUGUUCAGAGAUGACCAAGUGCUCGCAAGAGAACGGUCACACAGGUGCUGCAUGGCUGUCGUCAGCUCGUGUCGUGAGAUGUUGGGUUAAGUCCCGCAACGAGCGCAACCCUUAUCGUUAAUUGCCAUCAGGUCAAGCUGGGCACUUUAACGAGACUGCCGGUGACAAACCGGAGGAAGGUGGGGAUGACGUCAAGUCCUCAUGGCCCUUAUGGGUAGGGCUUCACACGUCAUACAAUGGGUCAUACAAAGGGUCGCCAACUCGCAAGAGGGAGCCAAUCCCAAAAAGUGACUCGUAGUCCGGAUUGGAGUCUGCAACUCGACUCCAUGAAGUUGGAAUCGCUAGUAAUCGCGGAUCAGCACGUCGCGGUGAAUACGUUCCCGGGUCUUGUACACACCGCCCGU